UAUGGAAAAGCAAAUGUAGGCAUGAGUAACGAUAAUGCGGGAGAGUAACCCGCACACCGCAAGACCAAGGUUUCCUGAUCAACGCUAAUCGGAUCAGGGUUAGUCGGGUCCUAAGGGUAAGCCGAACGGCGAUCUCGAUGGAUAAUCGGUUAAUAUUCCGAUACUAACAUAUACCUCGAUGGAGAGACGAAGGAACGUAAGUGCCGCCACCUGACGGAAUAGGUGGUUAAAGGGCGUAGGUAUAGGGGCAGAUUAAGAGUUAGUCCUUGCUGAAACCUGACAGUACAGAGAGCCUACGGGCAAUUUGAUAGAGCACCCAAGUCGACUUCCGAGAAAAUCUUCUAAGUUAUAGUAUAUGUUACCCGUACCGUAAACCGACACAGGUGGUCGAGGAGAGUAUCCUAAGGUGCUCGAGUGAAUCACGGUUAAGGAACUAGGCAAAUUAACCCCGUAACUUCGGGAAAAGGGGUCCCUAUGAAAGUAGGGCGCAGCGAAGAGGUCCAGGCGACUGUUUAUCAAAAACACAGGGCUCUGCAAAUUCGAAAGAAGACGUAUAGGGCCUGACACCUGCCCGGUGCUGGAAGGUUAAGAGGGGAUGUCAUCGCAAGAGAAGCAUUGAAUCGAAGCCCCAGUAAACGGCGGCCGUAACUAUAACGGUCCUAAGGUAGCGAAAUUCCUUGUCGGGUAAGUUCCGACCUGCACGAAUGGUGUAACGAUCUGGACACUGUCUCAACCGUGAGCUCGGUGAAAUUGUAGUCCCGGUGAUGAUGCCGGGUACCCGCAACGGGACGAAAAGACCCCGUGAACCUUUACUAUAGCUUAACGCUGAAUUUGGGUACACAAUGUGUAGGAUAGGCCGGAGGCUUUGAAGCGGGCACGCCAGUGUUCGUGGAGCCGACGUUGAAAUACGGCCCUUUGUGUAUUUGAGUUCUAACCCUGCGAAGGGGACACCGUUUGGUGGGUAGUUUGACUGGGGUGGUCGCCUCCAAAAGCGUAACGGAGGCUUCCCAAGGUACCCUCAGCACGAAUGGUAACCGUGCGCGGAGUGCAAUAGCAUAAGGGUGCUUGACUGUGAGACAUACAAGUCGACCAGGUACGAAAGUAGGGUAUAGUGAUCCGGUGGUUCUGCGUGGACUGGCCAUCGCUCAAAGGAUAAAAGGUACUCCGGGGAUAACAGGCUGAUCGCCGCCAAGAGCUCAUAUCGACGCGGCGGUUUGGCACCUCGAUGUCGGCUCGUCACAUCCUGGGGCUGGAGAAGGUCCCAAG
Molecule: ribosomal RNA, 1266 nt
Filed under: human gut metagenome
Description: bacterial LSU rRNA
Rfam family: Bacterial large subunit ribosomal RNA
Source: RNAcentral